CUCUAAGAUUGCACAUGACAUGUCAUAUAAUAUAUAUUAUAUGACAUGUCAUGUGCAAUCUUAGAG
Non-coding RNA from Podarcis lilfordi (Lilford's wall lizard), 66 nucleotides. The record is from the annotation of a GenBank genome assembly. NCBI's taxonomy places the organism in Eukaryota, Metazoa, Chordata, Lepidosauria, Squamata, Lacertidae.